UACGAUAGUGCGGAUACGUGAGAUGGGUGU
RNAcentral lists this non-coding RNA (30 nucleotides) under Mus musculus (house mouse). Lineage: Eukaryota; Metazoa; Chordata; Mammalia; Rodentia; Muridae. The record is from RNAcentral.